CGUGCCCUAGAGAACAGGAACGCCUUGGUGUUGCAUGUGCGAGUUUGGCUUCGGUACCAAUAUACGGCAUCUCUCACACCUGAUCAGCACACAUCACACGCAAGCACACACACACGCCUGCGCGUCAAGACAAGAAGGGCCGUGGCUUAUAGAUUGACGGAAACUCCACACACACACGCACACACACACACCUGCAAAACGUUCACGUCUGUGUGUGUGUGUGUGUGUGCGUAGAAGCACUCAUGGAAGCUGAGCCCCUCAGAAUGGUGCCGAACGCCCGAAGCGCGUCCCUGUUGCACUGGGGAAUGGCAGCGGCGGCCACCUCCUCUUCCACCAGUCUUGCAUCGCUGCCUAGUAAAAGUGACGGCGUAUGUGGCGGGGGCGGAGGCAAGAACGACGACACGGGCACUGUGCUACCGCUAAACCGCGCCACGAUGGCCGAUGCUGAAGCGUCGGUCAACCGCGCCUACCUCUCCCGCACCUCACUGGAGUACAUUCUCUGCGUCGCCUUUGUCGUCGUUGGCAUCUUCUACUCUUGCGUCUACAGGAUCGCCUGCAUUGGCCGUGAGCAUCACGAAGAGCUGAAGGAGAAUCUUAAGCCACCAUGGGCACUAUACCGCUGGCUCGGCAGCAAAGGUGUGGACGUAACGGAUCUGCAGUGCUACUACUUUGUGGUGGCGAUGCCCCCAUCCAUACCGUACAUGAUCGGCUUCCUGCUCUUGUCACGACGACUGCGACGCCAUGCCGCAUCGAAGACGGCGACAGCUGUAAAAGAAUCUACCAUCGCUGCGGCUGGCGACGGCAAGGAGCGCAGCGGCUCGAUGGCAAGCAUUCACCACCCAGAGCACGUCAUCGGCGACAGCAGUGUUGGUAGAGGCAGCGUCAGCCCUACGCUCCUGAUUCGCAAAGACGUGUCGACCCUCCAAUUCCUUCACAUUAUCGCUGGCAUGUUCAUUGCUCUGUGCCUCUGCGGGCCGGGGUUUCUCUUCGGAGUGGUAAUGAUGUUGCUCAAUUUCUAUCUGAUCGCGCCUCUUUACAAGAGAGCGUCCUUUCGGGUAUCCAUGACGGUGAUGUGGGUGAUGCACGUGUUGGUCCUCUUCUUGAACUACCACGCUGGCGGGUACCAGUUUGCCUGGUUUGGGCUCAGCUUCCUCGAUAACCUGUGGUCGCCAUUGAUCCAGUGGACCACCCAGUAUAACAUGUCGGUGCUGCGCAUGAUCUCCUUUAACAGUGAUCUCUGGGAGUCAGUAAGCUGUGGCGAGGAGCGGCGGCAGAAGUCGCUGGCGAAGCACGCACGCACAUGCAUUGCCUGUGCUCAGAUACGCGACCAGCACCGUCACGCCGUCACCUCUCUCCCGCCGGAGGCACUCUCGUGUUACAAGUGCCGCACAGAAUGCUCACGGCACGUGGAAGAGUUCACUCUCAGCGCUUACCUCGGCUACAUAUUCUACCUGCCUCUUUUCAUGGCGGGGCCGGUGUCGUCCUUCAACGCGUACGUGUCCUACCAGCAUUACUCGGCACGGAGCAUUGAGGGCAAGGCUAUCUGGCGGUACGGAUUUCGCUUAUUGUGCCACGCUAUCUUGCUAGCAACGUUGAUGCACUACGUGCCUAUCAUGGCCAUUCUGCUGACACCCGCUCCGUCAGCCAGUGGAGCGGCUGAAGCAGUGCCUGCCGCUGGGGCGAUCGCAGCGGAAGGGGCUGCGCUGGCGCGCAGUAGCGGUGCUAUGGCGGUCACCACGAGUAGCUCGCCAGCGGGCAACGCACUGCAGAAUAUGGUUAGCACAACCACUGCAACCACAACACCCACAGCAGCCGUUGUCACCCUCUCGGUGCUGGACCAGAUGGGGGUUACGGAAAAGGCGUCCCUGUUUGUACUGGCACUGGCCUUCCUGUGGGCUAAGUUCGACGUUGUGUGGCGCUUCUUCCGCUUCUUCGCGCUGCUAGACGGCUUCGACCCGCCGGAGGACAUGCCGCGCUGCUUCGCCAACACUGUGAAUAUCCAAAGCUUCUGGCGCGACUGGCACGCCUCCUUCAACCUGUGGAUCGUGCGGUACAUGUACAUCCCGAUGGGCGGCAGUCGCACCAAGUCUCUCUCCAUAUUUCCCAUCUUCUUCUUCAUUGCCAUCUGGCAUGACAUCGAGCUGCGUCUGAUCUUCUGGGCCACAAUCAUGUGCACCGCAUUAAUCCCUGAGAUCGCGGUCACUCUCUUCUUCUCCUCCGAGAACCCGCUGGUGAUGCGAAUCAAGCGCUCGCCGCUCAUGUGGAGGUACCUACGCGUACUCGGGACGCAACUGGCGCUGAUGGAGUUGACUGUAGCAAACCUUGUCGGCUUCUCCGUUGGUACAACCGGCGCGGCGUGGGCCGCUCAGCACAUGUUUCGCGAGAUGUCCUUCACGUUCAAGAUCCUCGCGCCGUGCUUUUACCUCUGCGCGGCGAUCAUCUCCAUUCAAGACAGCGACCAGAAAGCGUAUGAGCAGCAGCAACUCAAACUAAAGUACGAUCUCCAGUAACAGGAAGUCGUGAGGCGCGUACAUGAUACGACUCGCCUGGACGCCCUUCUCCCCCUCCCCCCUCUCGUCCUCUCUUCAGCUUCAGCCUCCGCCUCCGCGGCAAGGGCAACAUCGCUUCCUAAUCCAUAUUUCCCUUCGUCCCCCCCCGUUGCUUGCUUUACGUGUGUGUGCUUCCUUCGCAUCUCCCGCCAUCUCCCUCCUUAUGGCGUCGGCUUUAGCACUUUUCCGUGUUCUUCCUCUUUGUGUGUCCAUCGUAUUAUUUCCAUUUAUAUCGUUUUCGUGAUCCCUGGUGACGGAGUGAGGGUGGGGGAGGGGGAGGGACAUCUUGCCUUCAUAUAUCAAGGCUCAGUACCCUCCCUCCGCGGGAAAGCGAAGCAGCACCCUUCCUACUCCCCCUCUCUCUCCUAUCCCUGCCAGCUGCAGAGCCGCUACUGCUAUGUCGGCGCUUAGGCCGUGGGUGGGAGCUGCAUUGGAGCCGCCGGCGCCUGUGAACACAUUUGUGCCAUCCAUGUGAUGGGCGAAGUGUCCGCGUGACUCCAACCCAUCUCACCCGGACCCUCACACUGCCCACUGGUGUGGGGGAGCUUGAGCCCCUCUGAGGGGGCCGCACCGCGUGGCGACCACCACAAUGGAAGCGGCUGUGAGGCGAUCUGCGGAGCAGAGUGUGGGUAGAGUGUGAGGCAGGCGCUGUGCUCUGAUAACUGGGUCGGCAUAUUGCUCUGACGUGUGUCUCCUGCUGCCUCGUACCACGCGGAAGGGGCCUGUGACAGGGGCCGGGUGGUGCGGAGUGGGGUUCACCUCAUGCUUAAUGGCGCAGAGGAGACGUUUAUUGCGUUUUUCUCAUACCUUGUUCCCUUUGUCAGCGUGUCCAUUCUACCAGAAGCAAGCCAACAAACGCAUACGCACACAACAACACCACUUGACCCGCCUCUGCUGCACCACGGCGAGGCUCCUGUCCGCGAGGACGAGCCGCUCUGCCGUCGAGUCGGGGGCACGCGUCUGGCGGGCUCCCCUCGUCCUUCCUCGUCUCUUCUACGCAUGCGCGCUGCGCGAUCGGCGCGGACGCGCUUGGCUGGACGGCGUCCAUCGAUCCGAAGCGGCCCGCGUCCACGGCCCUGCUCGAGGGCGGAGGCGGCGGCGUCUGUGGUGCGGGUGGUAGGGGGAGGGGCACUGCAGGUGCAUGCCGGAUGAGCUCCAGCCGCAAGUUGGCCAGAGUCAGGCCAGGGCCCCCUGAGGCCCUGCACCCGGCCUGUGUGCCGUGCAUCGCCCUGACUCGCC
Molecule: unclassified non-coding RNA, 3788 nt
Filed under: Leishmania donovani
Lineage: Eukaryota; Euglenozoa; Kinetoplastea; Trypanosomatida; Trypanosomatidae
Description: gene:LdHU3.19.1650(CDS-product:membrane-bound_O-a cyltransferase_putative)
Source: RNAcentral